RNAcentral lists this transfer RNA (76 nucleotides) under Candidatus Magnetomorum sp. HK-1. RNAcentral describes it as "tRNA-Asn". It matches the Rfam family "tRNA". From Rfam's summary of the family: Transfer RNA (tRNA) molecules are approximately 80 nucleotides in length. The record is from RNAcentral. Lineage: Bacteria; Pseudomonadati; Thermodesulfobacteriota; Desulfobacteria; Desulfobacterales; Candidatus Magnetomoraceae.
UCCCCAGUAGCUCAGUCGGCAGAGCAGGUGGCUGUUAACCACCGAGUCCGCGGUUCAAGUCCGUGCUGGGGAGCCA